GACGAACGCUGGCGGCGUGCUUAACACAUGCAAGUCGAACGGAAAGGCCCUGCUUUUGUGGGGUGCUCGAGUGGCGAAAGGGUGAGUAACACGUGAGUAACCUGCCCUUGACUUUGGGAUAACUUCAGGAAACUGGGGCUAAUACCGGAUAGGAGCUCCUGCUGCAUGGUGGGGGUUGGAAAGUUUCGGCGGUUGGGGAUGGACUCGCGGCUUAUCAGCUUGUUGGUGGGGUAGUGGCUUACCAAGGCUUUGACGGGUAGCCGGCCUGAGAGGGUGACCGGCCCCAUUGGGACUGGGAUACGGCCCAGACUACUACAGGAGGCAGCAGUGGGGAAUAUUGCACAGUGGGCGGAAGCCUGAUGCAGCAACGCCGCGUGCGGGAUGACGGCCUUCAGGUUGUAAACCGCUUUAGCCUGUGACGAAGCGUGAGUGACAGUAAUGGGUAAAGAAGCACCGGCUAACUACGUG
This 468-nucleotide ribosomal RNA is filed under the name uncultured bacterium. RNAcentral describes it as "partial 16S ribosomal RNA". It matches the Rfam family "Bacterial small subunit ribosomal RNA", at positions 28 to 507 of the family's 1533-position model. The record is from RNAcentral.